Molecule: ribosomal RNA, 253 nt
Filed under: uncultured bacterium
Lineage: Bacteria
Description: partial 16S ribosomal RNA
Rfam family: Bacterial small subunit ribosomal RNA
Source: RNAcentral
UACGAAGGGGGCUAGCGUUGUUCGGAAUUACUGGGCGUAAAGCGUGCGCAGGCGGCUUCUCAAGUCAGGGGUGAAAGCCCAGAGCUCAACUCUGGAAUUGCCUUUGAGACUGAGUGGCUUGAGUACGAGAGAGGUGAGUGGAAUUCCCAGUGUAGAGGUGAAAUUCGUAGAUAUUGGGAAGAACACCGGUGGCGAAGGCGGCUCACUGGCUCGUAACUGACGCUGAUGCACGACAGCGUGGGGAGCAAACAGG